UACGAAGGGGGCUAGCGUUGCUCGGAAUCACUGGGCGUAAAGCGCACGUAGGCGGAAUCUUAAGUCAGGGGUGAAAUCCUGGAGCUCAACUCCAGAACUGCCUUUGAUACUGGGAGUCUUGAGUCCGGAAGAGGCAAGUGGAAUUCCCGGUGUAGCGGUGAAAUGCGCAGAUAUCGGGAGGAACACCAAUGGCGAAGGCAGCUUGCUGGGACGGUACUGACGCUGAGGCGCGAAAGCGUGGGGAGCAAACAGG
Molecule: ribosomal RNA, 253 nt
Filed under: uncultured bacterium
Lineage: Bacteria
Description: partial 16S ribosomal RNA
Rfam family: Bacterial small subunit ribosomal RNA
Source: RNAcentral